Molecule: ribosomal RNA, 1539 nt
Filed under: uncultured Glomeromycotina
Lineage: Eukaryota; Fungi; Glomeromycota
Description: eukaryotic LSU rRNA
Rfam family: Eukaryotic large subunit ribosomal RNA (bases 743-1539)
Source: RNAcentral
UCGCUCUUCAACGAGGAAUCCCUAGUAAGCGUAAGUCAUCAGCUUGCGUUGAUUACGUCCCUGCCCUUUGUACACACCGCCCGUCGCUACUACCGAUUGAAUGGCUUAGUGAGGUCUUCGGAUCGGCGGUUGAUGAGUAGCAAUAUUCGCCGGUUGCUGAGAAGUUGAUCAAACUUGGUCAUUUAGAGGAAGUAAAAGUCGUAACAAGGUUUCCGUAGGUGAACCUGCGGAAGGAUCAUUAUAAAAUUUUCGUAUAUUUUAUUUUUAAAUAUAUAAAAUUACACAAAAAUGUAUUCAAAACCCACACUCUUGUAACCAUUUAUAAAAAAAACAUUAUAUCUCGCAUAUAAUAUUAAUUAAAAACAACUUUCAACAACGGAUCUCUUGGCUCUCGCAUCGAUGAAGAACGCAGCGAAUUGCGAUAAGUAAUGUGAAUUGCAGAUUACGUGAAUCAUCGAAUUUUUGAACGCAUAUUGCACUCUCUGGUAAUCCGGGGAGUAUGCCUGUUUGAGGGUCGGUAAAAAAUAAAACAUUAUCAUGUGAUCCUUAUGGGAUUUUCAUGGAAUUGGAUUUUUCAAAGGUUCCCUUUGAUGGUCUCAAAUUUAUGUUAUGGCUAAUUUAUAUAGAUUGAACUAAAAAGAGCAAUUAUUUAUAAUAUCUCGAAUUUUAGUGACGUUUAUAGGCCAAAUAUGAUUUUUUGGUGUUAAAUAAAAUACCAAAAGUUAUAAAUAAUUUUUAAUUAAGACCUCAAAUCAGGUAAGAGUACCCGCUGAACUUAAGCAUAUCAAUAAGCGGAGGAAAAGAAACUAACAAGGAUUCCCCUAGUAACGGCGAGUGAAGAGGGAAGAGCUCAAAUUUUAAAUCUACCAUGUUGUACAUGGUCGAAUUGUAAUUUGAAGAAGCGUUUUCUUGUUCUUACGAUCGGUAGAAGUUCUCUUGGAACAGGACAUCAUAGAGGGUGAUAAUCCCGUCUGUUACUGAUUGUGAGUUCGUUAUAUGAUACGCUUUCAAAGAGUCGAGUUGUUUGGGAUUGCAGCUCCAAAUGGGUGGUAAACAUCACCUAAGGCUAAAUAUUUGCGAGAGACCGAUAGCGAACAAGUACCGUGAGGGAAAGAUGAAAAGAACUUUGAAAAGAGAGUUAAAAAGUAUGUGAAAUUGUUGAAAGGGAAACGAUUGAAGUCAGUCGUGCAGUCAUCAAUUCAGCGGUUAACAUUUAUGUUUUCCGUGUAAUUUGGUGUCUGUUGGUUAGCAUCAAUUUUGAUUGUUAUAAAAAGGUUAAGGGGAUGUGGCUCCUUCGGGAGUGUUAUAACCCUUAGCGUAAUGUGACGAUUAGGAUUGAGGUUUGCAACGAAUACCUUUUAGGGCAGUUUCACCUGGCCUCUCGUAGGAUUUCGGGUGGUGAUAGCAUGCUAUCACUAUUCGAACUCUCUACGAAAAGGUUGGAGUGUAAAACUAAUUCGUUAAGGAUGCUGACGUAAUGGCUUUAAACGACCCGUCUUGAAACACGGACCAAGGAGUCUAACAUAUGUGCGAGUGUUU